CCCUUAGAUGUUCUGGGCUGCACGCGUGCUACAAUGGCGCUUGCAACAAGUCUUGCCAACCCGAUAGGGUGAGCGGAUCUUUGAAGAGGCGUCGUGAUCGGGACAGUUGAUUGCAAUUAUUCGACUCGAACGAGGAAUUCCUUGUAAUCGCGAUUCAUCAUAUCGCGCUGAAUACGUCCCUGCCCCUUGUACACACCGCCCGUCGCUCCUACCGAUUGAGCGAUCCGGUGAAUGUUUUGGACUGGCGUCAGAAGCGGUUCGCUCCUGACACUACGAAAUUUUGUAAACCUUAUCGCUUAGAGGAAGGAAAAGUCGUAACA
Molecule: ribosomal RNA, 320 nt
Filed under: uncultured eukaryote
Lineage: Eukaryota
Description: partial 18S ribosomal RNA
Rfam family: Eukaryotic small subunit ribosomal RNA
Source: RNAcentral